AGCAUUAAGAGGAAUACCUAAUGUAGAUGAUGAGUUGAUGGGUGCAGCAGACCACUAUGGUACAUGUUUACCUAUGUAACAAACCUGCACAUCCUGCACAUGUAUCCCAGAACUUAAAA
Sapajus apella (tufted capuchin) is the source of this 119-nucleotide long non-coding RNA. RefSeq lists it as uncharacterized. The transcript has 2 exons. The record is from RefSeq and is a predicted model, not a curated record. NCBI's taxonomy places the organism in Eukaryota, Metazoa, Chordata, Mammalia, Primates, Cebidae.